AAGGGGGUGGCAGAUCGGUUAUGUGGUUGACUUGAAAUCAAAGUAUGGAGGUUCAAUUCCUUCCCCCCUUG
Molecule: transfer RNA, 71 nt
Filed under: Stereochilus marginatus (many-lined salamander)
Lineage: Eukaryota; Metazoa; Chordata; Amphibia; Caudata; Plethodontidae
Description: tRNA-Ser
Rfam family: tRNA
About the family: Transfer RNA (tRNA) molecules are approximately 80 nucleotides in length. Their secondary structure includes four short double-helical elements and three loops (D, anti-codon, and T loops). Further hydrogen bonds mediate the characteristic L-shaped molecular structure. tRNAs have two regions of fundamental functional importance: the anti-codon, which is responsible for specific mRNA codon recognition, and the 3' end, to which the tRNAs corresponding amino acid is attached (by aminoacyl-tRNA synthetases). tRNAs cope with the degeneracy of the genetic code in two manners: having more than one tRNA (with a specific anti-codon) for a particular amino acid; and 'wobble' base-pairing, i.e. permitting non-standard base-pairing at the 3rd anti-codon position.
Source: RNAcentral